This 759-nucleotide long non-coding RNA is filed under the name Androctonus crassicauda. Lineage: Eukaryota; Metazoa; Arthropoda; Arachnida; Scorpiones; Buthidae. The record is from RNAcentral.
AAUGCCUAAUUUGUCUCUGCUGUCAAGUGCUUAAUUUUACAUAGUUCUUACCGAAAUACUAAAGCAGAGUUUGUAUUAAUAUGGAUCCACCAGAGUUGAGCCAGCUCAAACUAGAAUACGUAAAAGCCAUACGAAAGAAAAUUAGAGCCUUCGAAACAUUCAAGUUCUUGCAACAGUGUAAGAUCAAUGACGUAUAUCCAAUGUCUAUUUAUAACAUUAAGUUACCGAUCACCUCCAAGAGAAUUUUAAAUAAUACUAAAAGGAUUUGUAUGAAGGCAGCCCUCUCUGAUGCAAAAAGGAGAUUCUAUAGAUGCCUCGACUAUGAAAUAAGCGUAUAAGAAAAACUGCAACAACUACGGGUACAAGACCAAGCGCUGAAAGAAUUAGACAAUAAACAAGAAGGCCUUCGGAAGCAUUUACAAAAUAAACACAUUAAAAAGAUUAAAUGGAUCCUUUAUAAACAAGGAGCUAGCAAGCGUAGAACAUCCUUGCCAUUAGAAAGUGUCCUCACUAUGUUAAGCGGAAUCGCCUUACCGCCAUAUGCAGUUGAACUUUUUCGAAAAGGUCCAAUGUGUGCCAUCAAACAGAAACCAAAUAUAAGGGCCCAAAUCCACUCCAUUGAAGAUUUGUUGAAUAACCCUCAAUUCCAACCCCUUGAGAAAGAAAGAAUGCGAUGGGAAACCCUCUAGCGUGACAUCAUGAUAAAGUUCUGACGUCAGAGGCACGGCCUGUGCUUAAGAUGGCUGUGACCACGCUCAA